GGAUAGGUGACGACUAUUGGUAUGUCGUGCUAAGCUGUAGUCUUAGUGGUAGUUACCGUUAUGAGUUCGAUUCUCAUACUAUUCA
RNAcentral lists this transfer RNA (85 nucleotides) under Diddensiella santjacobensis. RNAcentral's name for it is "tRNA-Tyr". The record is from RNAcentral. Lineage: Eukaryota; Fungi; Ascomycota; Dipodascomycetes; Dipodascales; Trichomonascaceae.